This 1129-nucleotide unclassified non-coding RNA is filed under the name Leishmania donovani. Its description in RNAcentral is "gene:unknown". Lineage: Eukaryota; Euglenozoa; Kinetoplastea; Trypanosomatida; Trypanosomatidae. The record is from RNAcentral.
GAUCUCGGCGCAGAUUGAAGGAUGGGAAAGAGCGAGAGCAGUUGCAGGUGUUCGCGUGCUCAGGCAGCGCGGUCAGUCUUCGGUCGUGUUGUUUGGUGGGGGUUUGCUGUGCGGCAUUGUCGGAGCUUUGGGAUCUGUUGUUUCGCUUUAGUUUUCCCAUAUGGGGGCUUUUUGUUAGGUUCAGUACGGGUGCCCUGUUUGUUCUAUGUUGGUGGGAUGUGAUGCUGGCCCCCCCUGAGCAGCGGUGUCUGUGUUAGCUGUUGCGCCAUCGCCUCACUCAAGGUGACGAGUCAUAACGUCGUGUAUCUUGUCUACAGCGUUUAUCAGGCAGGAAAGCUGGGUCGGCAAGAAUAUGUGGGUCGCUGGUAUAUAUUACCGCCAUGUCACGGAUAGGUGCGCCCAUCCCGCUGACGAAUUCGCUGGUCCAAUGGUGAUACGGAUGUCUUAGGAGGCGAGGCUUGUUAGCCGCAAAUACCAACACCAGGGGGAUUGUGUUGUUGUUUUUUGCCCGUUCUCUUCGUCUUUUCGCACUGGUCACGAAUGGCUAUGGUACGUCUUGUCUAACCUCCAACCUUUGUUUCAAGAAGCUGCGACAUCAGUUGUCGAGUCUAUCAGCUUCGUUGUGCAUCUUUUCGGGUGAGUUUUCGUAUUUGGACGCCGCCGAAGGUGUCUGUUAAUGCAGUCGGGGCAAUGCUCUGGCAGCAUAUUCAGGUUUCACGUUUUAGUGGGGGAUUGCUGAGAAACGCUCAAGCAUCCAAUGUGUGUGUGUGUGUGUGUUCAAGUGGAUUUCAUGAGGGCAGGGAACACAGAGUAGGACACUGAUUACGUGUUGUUGUUGCUUUGAUGUUGUCAAGGAAACAAAGUGCACAAAAGGGUUGCCACUGUUUGCACGCGAUUUGGUUUUCUGGGAAGCUGUAGUGGUUGGCCGCUACGCUUUUCAACCCUUAGCAAGCGAAAAGGCAAAUAUGAUGUCUUCAUUACGCUUCAGUACCCAGGUUUGCGUGCGAUAAGUAUAGGCGGCUUUGUUGGUGUGGGCGCUGUCUUCUAGAUGCACCUUCUUUGUGAUUUUCUUCUUUUUGCUCCGGGCUUCACAAUAUUCUUUGUGCCAUGUUUGAAACCUGUGGCGCAG